This 468-nucleotide ribosomal RNA is filed under the name uncultured bacterium. RNAcentral describes it as "bacterial SSU rRNA". It matches the Rfam family "Bacterial small subunit ribosomal RNA", at positions 340 to 790 of the family's 1533-position model. The record is from RNAcentral.
UACGGAAGGCAGCAGUGGGGAAUAUUGGACAAUGGGCGCAAGCCUGAUCCAGCCAUGCCGCGUGUGUGAAGAAGGCCUUUUUGGUUGUAAAGCACUUUAAGCGAGGAGGAGGCUCUCUUAGUUAAUACCUAAGAUGAGUGGACGUUACUCGCAGAAUAAGCACCGGCUAACUCUGUGCCAGCAGCCGCGGUAAUACAGAGGGUGCGAGCGUUAAUCGGAUUUUACUGGGCGUAAAGCGUGCGUAGGCGGCUUUUUUAAGUCGGAUGUGAAAUCCCCGAGCUUAACUUGGGAAUUGCAUUCGAUACUGGGAAGCUAGAGUAUGGGAGAGGAUGGUAGAAUUCCAGGUGUAGCGGUGAAAUGCGUAGAGAUCUGGAGGAAUACCGAUGGGCGAAGGGCAGCCAUCUGGGCCUAAAUCUGACGCUGAGGUACGAAAGCAUGGGGAGGCAAACAGGGAUUAGGAUAACCCGG